GAUGAACGCUAGCUACAGGCUUAACACAUGCAAGUCGAGGGGAAACGACAUCGAAAGCUUGCUUUUGAUGGGCGUCGACCGGCGCACGGGUGAGCAACGCGUAUCCAACCUGCCCAUCACUUGGGAAUAACCUUGCGAAAGUAAGACUAAUACCCAAUGACAUCCCACGAAGACAUCUGAAUGGGAUUAAAGAUUUAUCGGUGAUGGAUGGGGAUGCGUCUGAUUAGCUUGUUGGCGGGGUAACGGCCCACCAAGGCAACGAUCAGUAGGGGUUCUGAGAGGAAGGUCCCCCACAUUGGAACUGAGACACGGUCCAAACUCCUACGGGAGGCAGCAGUGAGGAAUAUUGGUCAAUGGGCGAGAGCCUGAACCAGCCAAGUAGCGUGCAGGAUGACGGCCCCAUGGGUUGUAAACUGCUUUUAUAAGGGAAUAAAGUGGGUCUCGUGAGACUUUUUGCAUGUACCUUAUGAAUAAGGACCGGCUAAUUCCGUG
RNAcentral lists this ribosomal RNA (492 nucleotides) under uncultured bacterium. RNAcentral's name for it is "partial 16S ribosomal RNA". It matches the Rfam family "Bacterial small subunit ribosomal RNA", at positions 28 to 507 of the family's 1533-position model. The record is from RNAcentral.